RNAcentral lists this non-coding RNA (45 nucleotides) under Schistosoma margrebowiei. The record is from RNAcentral. Lineage: Eukaryota; Metazoa; Platyhelminthes; Trematoda; Strigeidida; Schistosomatidae.
GCUCAGCUGACGAGUCCCAAACAGGAUGAAACAGGAUUCCUGGAU